This 472-nucleotide ribosomal RNA is filed under the name uncultured bacterium. Its description in RNAcentral is "partial 16S ribosomal RNA". It matches the Rfam family "Bacterial small subunit ribosomal RNA", at positions 30 to 507 of the family's 1533-position model. The record is from RNAcentral.
AUUGAACGCUGGCGGCAUGCCUAACACAUGCAAGUCGAGCGGGCACUCCGGUCCUAUCGGCGUACGGCUGAGUAAUGCUUGGGAAUCUUCCCAGUAGUCGGGCAUAACUUCCCGAAUGGGACGCUUAUACCGCAUACGUCCUACGGGAGAAAGAGGUGUAUCUUCGCACCUCUCGCUAUUGUAUGAGCCCACGUCGGAUUAGCUAGUUGGUAGGGUAAUGGCCUACCAAGGCGACGAUCCGUAGCUGGUCUGAGAGGAUGAUCAGCCACACUGGAACUGAGACACGGUCCAGACUCCUACGGGAGGCAGCAGUGGGGAAUAUUGGACAAUGGGCGAAAGCCUGAUCCAGCCAUGCCGCGUGUGUGAAGAAGGCCUUCGGGUUGUAAAGCACUUUAAGCGGGGAGGAAGGUUCGCGGCCUAAUACGUCGCCGUAUUGACGUUACCCGCACAAAAAGCACCGGCUAACUCUGUG